RNAcentral lists this ribosomal RNA (383 nucleotides) under uncultured bacterium. Its description in RNAcentral is "bacterial SSU rRNA". It matches the Rfam family "Bacterial small subunit ribosomal RNA", at positions 29 to 426 of the family's 1533-position model. The record is from RNAcentral.
AACGAACGCUGGCGGCAGGCUUAACACAUGCAAGUCGAACGCAUCCUUCGGGGUGAGUGGCAGACGGGUGAGUAACACGUGGGAACGUACCUUUCGGCUCGGGAUAACCCAGGGAAACUUGGGCUAAUACCGGAUACGUCCUUUGGGAGCAGUCCUUUGGGAGAAAGAUUCAUUGCCGAGAGAUCGGCCCGCGUCUGAUUAGCUAGUUGGUGGGGUAACGGCUCACCAAGGCGACGAUCGGUAGGGGUCUGAGAGGACGAUCACCCAGACUGGGACUGAGACACGGCCCAGACUCCUACGGGAGGCAGCAGUCGGGAAUUUUGCGCAAUGGACGAAAGUCUGACGCAGCAACGCCGCGUGAGGGAUGAAGGCCUUCGGGUUGU